Molecule: long non-coding RNA, 3211 nt
Organism: Centrocercus urophasianus (Greater sage-grouse)
Lineage: Eukaryota; Metazoa; Chordata; Aves; Galliformes; Phasianidae
Exons: 7
Source: RefSeq, a predicted model, not a curated record
AGAAAAAAUAUUUUACUUUUCUCACCUUUAUAGUACCAUGGAAUAACCUUUACAAUACUAAAACUAAUUAACUGCAGAGUGGUGAGGAGCUCACGUUUUGCUGUUAAACCAACAGAGAACUCAUUGUACAGGAGCUAAAACCUCCCACGCAAUGCUCUGGCAGUGAGCUGCAGGCUGCCCUGCAAGCAGUGCUGUGCUUGCAGCUGCUGCCCCAAGUGGGGUACUGGGUGGUGCUGUGCAUGCAGUGUGAGUCCUGCACAGCUUUCAGCAUGGCGUGGUUUUUGGGGAGCUCUCCCCAUGUCCCUGCACUCUACCUGUUAGUGCUCUGCUCCCACUCAGACCCUGGCACAUUUUCGUCGUGCCUGCAGUCGGGACAGGACAACACAGGCAGAUCUCUGCCUUGUUUUCUUCAGCAGACCUUUGCAGGCAAAAUCUUUCUGUUUGUUAGAAGCUGAUUAUCACUCUUUAUCAUUUUUUAAUUGCACCAAAAAACCUGUUUGGUAUGUGCAAUAAAAACAUGCAUGAGUGCAGAGAGCCCAGAGCGGCUGUACAGAGCAGAGAGCUCCAGCAACCCCAGCAGUACUAUGGGAAAACCUGAGCUGCUGUUUCUGUUUCCUUGAAGUUUCUUGUAAUGAGCUUUCUUGUAAUGAGCUCAAACGCUGUGAUUUGCUUCAAUUUGCUGCCGUGAUACGGACUAAGUUAAAUAUGUCUUUAAGGUUAAUUUUGCUUACAGUUCCUUGGGCAUAUGUGGUAAAAGUGAUUGGCUUAGUGAAGGGGAGGGGAAAAAAAAAAAAAAGAAAACCUGCUCCUUUUUGUCUCACCCACCCAGUUUUCCCUUCCAACAGCCACCUCUGCUGGCAGCUGCCUCCCGGUGCCAAAGGAGCUGCAGGUGAGGGGUGGCUGUGCUCCGUGCAAGGUGCCUUCCCAGCACAGGGCUGCAGUGGGGCCACACCUGUCCCAGGGCGCAGCGGUGUGCAGGCAGCAGGCUCCUAAUGGCAGCGCUGUGUUCACACGGCUCUGUGUUUCACCGGGCUGCCUAGUGCCUUUACCUCUGUUGGAGUGUAUUUUUUGCAGUUCUGGUAUUGGUGACAGCUGGUGAGGCAACCUUCCUAGUCCUGCGACCAGAGAAUCCCUUGUAACAGUCUGAAUGUUAACAGAAAUCAGAGAACAACCUUUCUAUUUUCUUUCGUAUGGAUACAGAUGCAAAUGAUUCUUGAAGCUGUUUUCUGCAGAUUAAAUGAAUGUGUGCUGCACAGAACCAGCAUCAUCAUCAUCAUCUUUUUUUGUUUGUUUGUUUUCUCUCCCUUCAUAGAAAUCAUUGUUUCAAAGCACAGAGGCAGGCUGGAUCCAGGUAACAGGGAUUGCACUGUGCUAACAAACUCGUGACCGAUCGAUCUCCUGCUCCUCCUGAAGGAGGCAUUUCACAGCUUUUUCUUUCCAUAAGCACAGCUUUUUCAGUGUUUCUCAGCAUUUCUGUCACAUAUCAAGAAUGCGUUUACCUCUGAAACAUUUCUGUGCUGGCAUCCGUGAAACUUUUCAUGCCCUUCGCAUUUAAUUUUGUACAGAAUAAUGCAUGGCGUAGUAUUUAGGUCUUCUGUUUUCAAUUAAGCUGCAUUAGGUAACUAAGCUCUUCUUUCAUAUCCCAUAACAAAGUAUCAAUAUCCAGAUGGUGGUGUGCUGGGACAGCAUGGCUAUGGCUGCUACUGCAGAGCUGAGAGCUAUCGCUGCAGCCAGCGCGAUAAAUAACGCCGAGGUUGUGACUCUUGGCGUAUUGGAGGUGCACUAAAUAAUGCUACAGUGCUGUUUAUUACUGGUUUCAUUGGAUAAUAUGCAGCUGUAAAACCUGCUUGAAGCUUUUAUUAAGAAUACUCUGUCAUUAUAAAAAGAUGCCUACAACUUCUUUAUGAUAUUAACAGUGCCGGAAUUGCUCUGUGCUGGCUGCCUGGCUGGGAAGGAGUGCAGCUUCUCUGUGCUCCAGGAUGCAGGGAUGUCUCUUGGGAAGGAAACAGCUCUGAGUUGGAAAAGACUCUUAUGAGUUCAGGGAGACUGGCUUAAGCAGCGCAGAAGUUCAUGGAUGGAAGAAGAGUCCUCGUUUCAGAGCACCUAAACAUGAAGAUUUUAUAAACGCCAUUAGGAGAACUGGCGUGCAGGAGGAAUGGAUCUCAUCUGUCUGCUGUGAUUCUUGACCCACCUAAUUGGCUAAUGGCCACGAGCAAUAACAGCGUGGCUCAGGGGAGCGGCGCUGGGGCAGAGAAGCACUGUGCUGUGCUGAAGGCAUUGCGUGUGAUCCUGCCAUUGAUGACCAAACCUCCCUGAAAUCUUCUUAUCAGUUGCUGCCAAGAUGAGAAGGAUAGCAGGAAAGAGGAGUGUGUUAUUGCUCUCACUAAGCAAGGAAGUUGAACUGUUUUCCUGAGCACACCCAGAAUUAAUUCAGCCCAAGCUGAUCAUGUUAUCACAUGCUGGUUACUGCUGGCCCGGGUCAUUCUGAUGGAAGAGCAGGAAGCACACAGACCAGCUGCACCAAUGGCUUGCCUGGGAAGGGGUGUCACCAACAGGGGAGUUGUGGAGCUGGUGGUGGUUUGGUGUUUUCAGCAGGUGCAGCUGCAUCUCUAAGCUCGCGGUGUGGAGCACCCUGCCAAGCACACUGCUCCUCUGAGCUGCAGUGAGAAGUGGAUGACCAGUGCUGCACACAGCUAAGCACACAGCCUUAUCAGCAAGCGUGCUUUAGGUACGUACGGGUGCAAAGUGCUUUCCUGAAGGAGCAGGCAGGUGUGGAAAAUAUCGGAAGGCCAGGUUCUUCUGCUGUGAUUCCUUACAGCAAGCCCAGCGCCGGGCUGACACUGUCAGCAGCAGCCACACCUCUGCCAGCCCCAGACGGUGCCAGGUGGGUGGAAGCCUGGGAUCAGUGGGAAGGGACACAGCAGGGAAGACAAACAUGCUGUUGUUUUCUGAACGCUUCCAGGUUAAAGCACGGCCAUCUUCAUCUCCGCGCUGAGAGAGAGGAAGUCACAGAGUCACACUGUUGAGCAGCACAGAGGCUGGAGAUGUGAAAGAAGGUGAAAGCGAGGUCUGGAAAGCGGAGAGAGGCUUUGUGCUUCCUAGCUGAAGAGUUGCUGUGCUCUAAGUUUGCUGUUGAUAGCACCCAUAGACGGCCUCCUUCCUGCUAAUUAGGCUUCCUGAACACAGCCUCUGGAAAUGGCUUGAGAAGUGU